Molecule: long non-coding RNA, 376 nt
Organism: Octopus sinensis (East Asian common octopus)
Lineage: Eukaryota; Metazoa; Mollusca; Cephalopoda; Octopoda; Octopodidae
Exons: 2
Source: RefSeq, a predicted model, not a curated record
CUCUUCCUCUUUUCAUCUGUUUUCUCUCUCUCAUCCCCUUUCCUAUUCAAUUCAUACCUUCACACAAUGCUUUUCUGUCUUCUUAUGAGUCUAAUUCUACUGCCCAGCUUGAUUUGUUUUUUAUAUCUCAUAUCUGCUACUGAUACUUCACUCUUCAUUUUGUCUUACAGUUAGUUUGACCCAAUCUUUUCCUUUUAGCAGGAGUGGCUAAUAAGAGGAAACAUAAUUAUAUUUUAAUCCUGACAAAGAUUGUUUUUCAUCAAAUAUGCUUCAGACUUUAGUUCUUUGUAAUAAAGUGUUCCCCUGAUGAUCUGUGGUUAAGUAAGCAAUGCAGAGUUCCUAAAAACUACAAUGGCGAAACAUAUGUAGGAACAAA